AGCUCCAAUAGCGUAUAUUAAAGUUGUUGCAGUUAAAAAGCUCGUAGUUGGAUUUCUGGUUGGAGCGAUCGGUCCGGCACUCUGUGUGGGUACUUGAAUCGUCUCCGGCCAUCCUUGGGGAGAGCCUGUCUGGCAUUAGGUUGUCGGGCAGGGGAUACCCAUCGUUUACUGUGAAAAAAUUAGAGUGUUCAAAGCAGGCUUAUGCCGAUGAAUAUAUUAGCAUGGAAUAAUAUUAUAAGACCUUGGUACUAUUUUGUUGGUUUGCGCACUGAGGUAAUGAUUAACAGGGACAGUUGGGGGUAUUCGUAUUCAAUUGUCAGAGGUGAAAUUCUUGGAUUUAUGGAAGACGAACUACUGCGAAAGCAUUUACCAAGGAUGUUUUCAUUAAUCAAGAACGAAA
This 400-nucleotide ribosomal RNA is filed under the name phytoplankton environmental sample. RNAcentral's name for it is "partial small subunit ribosomal RNA". It matches the Rfam family "Eukaryotic small subunit ribosomal RNA", at positions 587 to 988 of the family's 1831-position model. The record is from RNAcentral.